RNAcentral lists this unclassified non-coding RNA (805 nucleotides) under Limulus polyphemus (Atlantic horseshoe crab). RNAcentral describes it as "putative OPA3-like protein CG13603, transcript variant X1". Lineage: Eukaryota; Metazoa; Arthropoda; Merostomata; Xiphosura; Limulidae. The record is from RNAcentral.
UAGACCCAUAUGUAAGUAAGUUAUUGCCAAAUAAUGUUACUGCAUUGUUAAGGUAACACAUAUAUGUUAAAAACGCAAGUUAAAGUUGAAAACAAUAAGUAUAAUGAAAGUCAGUGAAAACUAAAAGUAAAAUGGUUGCUGCCGUUGCUUUUCCACUUGUGAAGUUGGGACUUCUGGCAGUGCGACAAAUAGCAAAACCUCUAGCGAAUUGGAUCAAAACCAGGGCUAAAAGAAGCUUUUUCUUUCGUACUUAUGUAUGCAUGCCACCCGCACAGAUGAAAAGCUUCUAGUCGAUGACUGCUGGUGUGAUGCUGCUCCAUGAAUGGGAAAGCAUGCCCUGGUGCAUACAGAACCCGAACAAUCUCAUCAGAUAGCUCAUCUAGAAAACAGGUUGGCUGUGGAGCUCCAUCAUCAGCAACCUUCCAGUACCUGCAUUUUUUGGACAACUCAAACCAACCUUUUUUUAUUAUUGUCUUCCAGUUAUGCAAAAAUAGUUAUUGUAUAACUGGAUGGAAGUAAAUGUCAAGAUGAGGAUGUUAAAUCUUGGAAAACCUUCAGAAGUACCAAAGCUAAAUGAAGCUAUGGCCAUUGAUUUAGGAGCUGAACUUUUGGGUGAAGCAGUUAUUUUUUUUGUUGCUGCAGCCUCGAUAAUAGCCGAGUACAUAAGAUCAUCAUUAAAAGAGAAGGAUAAAAAAGUUGCUAAGGAACAACAUUUUACAAAUUUAGAAAGUAAGAUAAAUUACCUCAAGUUUACUGUUGAUAGACAAGAAGCAGAAAUUAGACACUUAACCCGUGUUUAUUAUGU